RNAcentral lists this ribosomal RNA (497 nucleotides) under uncultured bacterium. Its description in RNAcentral is "partial 16S ribosomal RNA". It matches the Rfam family "Bacterial small subunit ribosomal RNA", at positions 28 to 507 of the family's 1533-position model. The record is from RNAcentral.
GAUGAACGCUGGCGGCGUGCCUAAUACAUGCGAGUCGAGCGAACAGACGAGGAGCUUGCUCCUCUGACGUUAGCGGCGGACGGGUGAGUAACACGUGGAUAACCUACCUAUAAGACUGGGAUAACUUCGGGAAACCGGAGCUAAUACCGGAUAAUAUAUUGAACCGCAUGGUUCAAUAGUGAAAGACGGUUUUGCUGUCACUUAUAGAUGGAUCCGCGCCGCAUUAGCUAGUUGGUAAGGUAACGGCUUACCAAGGCAACGAUGCGUAGCCGACCUGAGAGGGUGAUCGGCCGCACUGGAACUGAGACACGGUCCAGACUCCUACGGGAGGCAGCAGUAGGGAAUCUUCCGCAAUGGGCGAAAGCCUGACGGAGCAACGCCGCGUGAGUGAUGAAGGUCUUCGGAUCGUAAAACUCUGUUAUUAGGGAAGAACAAAUGUGUAAGUAACUAUGCACGUCUUGACGGUACCUAAUCAGAAAGCCACGGCUAACUACGUG